RNAcentral lists this long non-coding RNA (7954 nucleotides) under Homo sapiens (human). Its description in RNAcentral is "HSALNT0310425". The record is from RNAcentral. Lineage: Eukaryota; Metazoa; Chordata; Mammalia; Primates; Hominidae.
CUGCCCUCAGGUGUUGAGAUGCAGCUGGGGGCCGGGGGAGCGCUCUGCAGGAGGGGGAAGCCGAUGUGGAAACCCCUCAGCUACACCCAGGCCCCAGCCUCCCACCAGAUCUGGAGCCUUGGAGGGCAGGGAUUUGUGUCUGAAUCACCUCUGUGCACUCUCCCCGCCUCCCUCCUCCCUCUCCUUGGAUUAUAAGGAAGUCAAACUGUCUCCACACAGCAAAGAGCUUUUGACCGCUGGGGCCCACAGGCUUCGAAAGGCCCAGAGCAGGGACAGGGCAUCUAUGCAGGGCCACUUUCCACCAGCAAAGCUCAGAACGGAAUCAGCAAGAGUAGGUGGGAGGGAGGGUGGCUGGGGGCUGUCCAGGUGAGGGGCUGCAGGGAUGGAGGGAAGCAUUAUCAAGGGGGGAGGCUAAUUCACCUCCCACCAAAAACCCAGCAUCGGGCCAGCCACAGUGCUGGCCACGCAAAUAUCCACGAGGUAGCCUCCACCUCCACCAGUAAGCCCUUGACUCCUGGGAGCUGCUCAGGGACUCCAGCUCCUGGAGGUUACACGGAUUCCCAAGCUGGGAACCCCUGAAUUAUUUUAGGGGAUCUCUCAUCCCGUAUGUGCAGCCAACACUGCUGGUAGACCAAACAAAUACUAUGUUUCACACGUGAACAUCUUUCAAACCAAAAUAGAAGCUGCUUUGAUAAAUAAAAUUCACAGACUCCAAAGUUAUCUAAAAAUUGGUUCUUAACAGCUUCCUGUCAUCCUGUAGUUUUUCAAUCUUGGAUAUUAACCCUUGUGUGUGGGGUUAAUAUGGCAUGGGGGCAGGGGGUGUCUCAUAAUUUCUGAUGAUAAACAGGUCUCUUCCCUUUACUUGAAAAGCCCGGGAGUGCAAAUGGAGUUCCCAUACUUCACGGUGUGGGGGAAGGAUCAGAGGAUGAGGCCUGUACUGCUGGACCUCGGGUGGAGACCGCAGCCCAGGGCUCCCUGCUCUGCAGGGCUCUGGAAGAUGAGGGGAUCUGGGGGCCCAGAGCCAGGCACCCCAGUGUUACUGGCCUGCCUGCCCCCAGCAGACCAGCAGUCCUCCAAGGCAGCAGCUGGGCCAAGGCUGAGUCUCUCAGGAGUCCUGGGCAGUCAGCACGUAGCUGGGUGACCACGGAGGCAGGCAGGCAGGAGGCGCCUGGACAAGGGGGCUGACAUUCACAGCAGGCUGGGCUGGCUGAGGGCUUUGAGCCCAGCUCUCCACCUGCUAGCUGUGUGGCCACUGAGCACUCAGGAUGUGGCUGGGGUGAUGGAGACUGAGUUUUUCAUUUUGUGAAUUUUAAUCAGUGAACAUUUAAAUAGCCACCUAUAGCUGGUGGCUACUGCUCUGGGCAGCCUGGCUCUGGAGGCUUCGUAGGGACGGGGAAUGGAAAUGGCCCUGAAGGUGAGCCAGCCAGCUUAGCUCCCCCUCCCUUCUCAGCAAGGAUUUGAGGGUCCCCCUUGCAGAGCAAAGGCUGCAGUGUCUGGACAAGCCUCAGCUCCCUCCCUGGUCCGGUCCAGGCAUCUGCACACAUCACAGCACACAGAGUGCCACUGCCCAGAGCAGUGCACACAAAACCAGGUACUCUGUCUGAUAUGAGCAACUUAAGGGCUCUUCAAGGGGAAUUUUAUGAUAGUAACUUUUUGACUUUGUAUAUAAUGACUUUAGAGCUUACUCCCCUCACCCCAACCUGUGUGAAAUAACAGCCCAGCAAAAUCCUAAUGAUACAUAUCUUGUGAUUGCCAAAUAUGACCACAAAUUCCUCCCAUCCUGGUACCCAGGCCUCUCCUGGGUAGCCCCCUCCUCCCACCUGAGCUGGGGGCUACUUCCCCUCCCCUUGGGCAUACGACUUUCCUUUCAGGAGAAGGUGGCAGAGGUGAUGGCUGUGCCUCAAGAGGCCUCACGGCUUCUGGUUCAUUCUAGAAGUGCAGCCUCAGAUGCCAUGUGGAAGGUGUGAUUGGGGCACGUGGAGGGAACUGAAGGGACCCCGGUGUGAGAGGCUUGUCUGCCAUUGUGGGGGCCAUGUGGAGGGAACUAAGGGGACCCCCAUGUGAGGAGGCUGGUCUACCAUUGUGGUGGGGGCACAUGGAGGGGCCUGAGCUGCCUGGCCGCCAGCCAGCAUCCACUGGCAGACAUGGGAGUGGGGCCUUCUUGGAACUUCCAGCCCAGCUGAGCAUAGCCAAGGGCAACCAGCACAACUGCCCAGAUCUUCCAAACACACAAUCACGUGUUUUAAGACACUAUGUUCUGUGUAGUUUGUUACACAGCAAAAUCUAACUGAAACACACGCGCACACAGCCCCCACUCUAGAGACUGCCAGCUGGUGUUGCAGUUCAGGGCCCACCCACGGCCCCAGGAGGCAGCAGCACACCCGGAAGCACUGCCUGGGCCCAGGGGCAGGGGCAUGAGAAGUGUCCAUGGGCCGCUGGGGAACUCUACCUUUUAAACAGAGCAGAAACCCACGUGGAGCCCAGAGACAGGCCGUCUUUGGCAGAUGCCUGGGGUCUGUGCUCUGGGCCGGGCUCUGACUGGCGGAGCCCCUGCAGCCUGGCCUCUCCUGACAUGUUUGCAGUCAAAAUCACAAAGCUCUGCUACCGGCGGGUAUCUCUCUCCCCAUUUUAUAGAUGAGGAAACAGAUUCAGGAGCAGGAGACACUUGUCCAAAGUCGGUUUUGCUAGGCUUUGUCCUCCUCCAGGUCUUUUUGGCCCCCAUCCCUGCAGUGGUAGGGGUGCCCCUAAUUCACAAGGGUGGAGUGCAGGAGAGGAAGCUGGCAGGGGCUGCAUGAGACUGUGGGGAGGGAAUCACGUGUCUUCAUGCAGACAGAGCCCAAGGCACUUAGGGUCGGGGGACAGAACCCCUAGGAAGAGGGUCAGGGGAGCUGCAGCAAGGACUCUGUCUCCAGCUGGUAUGCGGGAUCCAGACAGAGCAGGUGGGGCUGGCUCUGUAACUGGCCUGUCGGCCGUUCUAAACAUCCAGAGAACUGAGUAGUGGGGACGCCAGCUGUGGGCCCAGCUGCCCCUGGGAGGAGGGCAGAGGCCAGCCUGGCUCUCUACCUGCCCCACCCACUGCACCGGUCCACCCUCCGUGUCUCUAAGGAAAGCUAGGUUCUAGGUCUCAAUUCUGAUGCUGCCACUUUCUGGCUGGCAAGGAACUUGCGCGAGUCACUUGGCUUGCCUCAGUUUCCCCCCCUGCAAGAUAGGGCAGAUAUUCCUGUUGGACAGGAUUUAUUGUGAGAAUGGAAUGAGAUCAUAGUUGGGACCAUACUCCUACACACAUUAGAGCUUAUCACCCAUUUCGCACUUGAAAAACAUCCCGUUUUCUUUGCUGCUGCUUGAAAGCCUCCGCAGGCCACCCACUCCUCACUUCUGGGUCUGCCUAUCUCUGCGGUUUCUGUGCUUGCAGAUGAAAUGUAAUUCUUGGCUGUUGGAAGUUUGGGGCUGAGCCCAGCCAUCCCUCCCUGUCUCUGGGGCCCCACCCGUACCCCGCCCCAGAGUCCAGAGCCCCCAGCACGUCCAGCUUACCAAUGGAGCCCACCCUUCCCCGGAGCAAGGUCACAGAAUCCCCUGUCCUGUGGGAGGAGAGCUUGGUGAUUUCUCAAAGUCCUUGCAGCUCUGACCUUCUAAGCCUGCACUCCUCUAGGAAGCCAGGUGAGAGAGCAGAGGAACUACCCUUCCAUAAGCCCACCCCAGGAACCCCAGGGAGGGGCCAGGUGCCUGGCCUUCUGAGUGUCUGUACCUGAAGAUGAAACGGGGUUACUUAGGUACUUCUUGGCAGUUCUGAAGUUCAGGACUGAACCUAGCUGCCUCUCCUGGCUAUGUCCGUCCAUUACCAUCACCACCUUGUCACCCUCCGUCUGGGGUCUGAGGCCAAGCUGGACACCUCUCCUUCCCGCGUCGAAGCUCAGAGGUGAGCCUCAGCUGACCCUCCCUCCAGCAAAUGUUUAGAGAAUGAGGUAAGCAUCCUCCACCAGUGACCGUCAGGCUGUCCACUGUCCAACCCAGACGUCCUCUCUGAGAGUGCUGCCAUUAGUCUCCAAACCCUCUGUCCUUUGAGCCUGAAUCCCCAGGGGGCUGUUCAUACUCCUCUUCCCUCUGCCACCUGGCUGGCCCCCAUCUUUGCUAGCCACCUCCUUCUUGCUCUCAGUUCCCCUCCUCAGGGAGGCCCUCACUGACCACCGCCAAGUCGCUCCCCACUGCAGCCUCCUGCUUCAUUUUCCUGACUGUGAUGUUGGAAAUGCUCGUUUGUGUGUUUGUUUACUUGUCACCUCUCUGCCUCCCCCAACCCCCAAAUGCCAGCUCUGUGAGGGAGGGGGUCUCACGCUGGUGUCCUCACUGCUUUGAGCGGUGCUGGGCACACAGUCAAUAUUAGUUGGUCGAGUUACUGAUAGAACAACGCUCUUGAUCCGGCUCCAGGGCAGAAAGGGGAGCUCACAGAGGAGGGGAUAUCCAGCUAACCCAGUGGGAACCAGACACGCUGGCAAACCCCAUCCCACGGGCUAGGCUUUCAGUUAACCCUCUCAUUCAUGCAUGAGGGGGUGCUUAUUAAGCCAUUUUCCAGAUAAGGCAAUGGAGGCCCAGAGAAGUGAAGUGACUUGCACAAGGCCACAUGGCUUGUAUGCUGCAGAGCUGGGUCUUGGCCUGGCUUUCUGAGAUCGACAGCCCUUUUCCUCUCCAGGGUUCCAAGGCUGUGAUUCCGAGAGAUCACCACACAGGGAAGGAAUCCUGACAGCCUGUGAAGUGCCUGGCACUGGGUCAGGUUAUUUGCCAAGGUUUGUUCAUGUGCCUGCUCUGUCUUCAUAGGUCUAUUUUACAGAUGUCAAACUGAGGCCCAGAGAGGCCUGGUGACUCGCCCUAGGUCACACAGUGCGGUGACAGCCAAUCCAGGACCGGUGCCCGGACUGCCACACCUCUCCAUGUGGUGGCGGUGAAGCUAAAUGGCCUGCUGCCUUGAUUUCCCCUUUGUGCCAUGAGGGUGUGGGCAGGCUGAUUUCUGACAUGGUGUAAUGUCAUCAGGGAGGCGGGACCUUGCCUGAGAAGCCUUAGGGCUGAAAAGGGAAGCGCAGAGUGGCUGUUUCCCCAUCCUGCCCGCUCUCCGCCCUGGCCCUGAGCCAGGUGGGCGGCCAACUCCCUUUGACCACUUCCUGGGGUAACUCCCCCGGAAAUGCCCCAGAUGCCCGCAGCCCAAGUAUAACUCCAACUUCCAGGCUCAGGACCCUCAUCCCUCACCUCCUCCUGCCAAGAUCACCCCAAGCAGAAACCAGGAUCAUAACAAACUCUACCUCACGGGGCUGACCCGAAGGGAUGAUGCAUAGCAGAACACAUGGCUCAGCUGGCCAGCCGGCAGGUCUUAGCAGGUCAUAGUGGCGGAAUGACCAGCCCACAAGUCUUAGCAGGUCGCAAUGGUGGAUGCAGGAUGUUUCUGCCUGACCAGCCUCCAUUCUCACUUCCGAACAGUUUCUGCCUGGAUAUGACAAAUGUCGACCUGGAGCUGUUGGGGCCAUCUGGGCAGAAAGGCUGUCCGGGAAUGAAGUCAAAGAGAUGGAAAAAGAGAAAAAGAGGCCGGCGUCUGGGGUCAUGGUUUGAGCCCCCGAAUCCAACUGUACCUGAAGCCCUGUCUGUUUCAGAAACAGAAGGCAAUAAAUUCAGCCUUUGCCUUAAGCCCGUCAAGCCAGUCUGGGGUGCCUCUUUUUUUUAAUCAACCAAACAAAUACUGGUUAAUAAAACUCCCUGCUCAAAAGCUCCUGGCGGCUCCUUCAUGCCUGCAGGGAGAGGCCAGCACCCUGGGCUCUGGGCCCCACUUGCCUUCCUUUUUGUCCUGAACUCUGGCCCUCAUCCCUCCCAGACAGGUAUCACCCAAGACUGCUGUUUCCCAAACACACCAUGAAGACUCGACCUACAGUUUCUACCCAAACUCUCCUCCACUCCCCACUUGAGCAGUGCCUGCUCACUAGAGCUUGCCUCCUCCUGGAAGCCUCCCCACACUUCCUCCACCACUCUGAGUGUCAGUGGCAUCUACCUCCAGCUUCCCAUCACUCUGCUUAUUUCCCCAGAGUGAAAUUCACUUUUUUUUUUCUUUUUCCUCUUCAAAAAAACUUUGUCUCACUGUAUCAUUUAAGAAAUGAACAUCCUGGAUUGACUUGGGAUUUGACAAAUUCAAACUUGGUUUUAACACACCAUGUGCAUUUCCUGAGCCCCAGGCGUACCAGCAGACACAGGGCUGAAAGACCCAGGGCCUACCCGCAGGGGCUUAGAGGCUGAACCAAACCGUUUCCCAUUUGGCUCAAGACAAUGGAUGCAAAAAUGACCAUUUUUAAAAUUUUAAAUUCAAAUUUAUUUUACUUGGGGAUAAUCAUCACUGACACUCACUGAGCCAUUGCUAGGUCAUUGUCUAUGGGCAGGUCCAUGCAUAAUGUUAUUUAAUCCUCACUCUGGGAAAUGUUAUCCUCACUUACAGAGGAGGUCACUGAAGCUCAGAGAAGUAAAGGGAGCUGCCCAGGGGGUUACAGCAACUGUAGGGAGCUGACCCUAUAUUCUAGCCCUUGUUAUCCUCCCUGGCCUUUCUCAACUGUGUGCGAAUACACUGGGGCCAGCUUCGAAGUCUUUUUAACAUUCACUGUGUAAACUCGGCACCAAGCUAGCUUCCCCUGGUUGCUCACAGGCAGGUGGCUGUCCACACCCACUUCUGUGUGGGGGCCUCUGGCGUCACAUUUCACACCCCUGUUCUGUAGGCAUCGGGUUUCAGAUUUGCUGUAUUUGCUUCCGCUGCCACUACCGGUAGAUCAGAAGCUGGGGAGGUGUUUCAACACAUGAUUGUUUUGAAUAUGGUGACUUCCCCAUCUAUCCCUGCCAUGGGUAACAUCCCAGCAGCCUCUUGAUAGCAGAACAGAGGCCAUUGAGCCUGGCCAAUGAGUGAGUCUCAAAUUCUAAGUUCGUGGGGGACUCACUUAAGAAGGGUGGUUUGUUCCAGCACCUGAUCAGAACCUGUGGCUCAUCCUCUGCAAAGUGGGCAUGAGGCACCACCAGAGGCUGCGGAGUGGCCAGAAUGAGGCAACAUAUGGAGGGGGUGUGGCACACGGUAGGUGUACACUAAGUGCUCAUUCCCUCUUUUCCUUACAGCCUUGCUGCUGGGGCUACCUUUCACCCACAUGCAGGCUUACUUGCCUGCACCCCCGGCAUGGCCCAAGAACCAGUUCUCUGAGUUCAGCCAGGACUUCCAAGAACCUAGCACAGCCAGGUCAGCUCCACUGUGUAUGAGUCCUGAACCCGACCCUAGGCCCCUGCUCCCUCAGUUGCCAUUUGCCAGGCUACCUCCUCCAUUGCUCCUAAAAUCUAGCUCAUCUGCCACCUCCUCCAGGAAGCCUUUGGGGAACUCCUCCAGAUAAAAACUCCAGUGUCCCUCCUCUGGGCUCCCACAGGCCUCAGAGCUCACCCCCUUCUCAGCCCUGAGUGCCAUGUGUAGUCAUUUCCUCUUUUCUAGUCCCUUCUCCCACAGAGCACUGUGAACAUCCCCAAGACAGAAACGAUGUGUUGCUCACCACAGCCUGGGCCCUACAGCUGGCCUGUCACAGGGCUGGUGACGACCGAAUGAAAGGAAAUGCCUAAUGUUUUCUGAGCACUUGCUACAUGCCGGGCACAGAGCCAGGGAUGCCCACAUGGAGAGGGCCUGCCUCACAGUGAAGACAGUAGGAAGGAAAGCAGAGGUAAGAGUUGAAAAGUCCAAAUCCAUAUAUGAACACUGCGAUUCCGCCAUUCCCGAAGCUAGUUACCCUCCAGACUUUUCAGUUCCAGGAGGCAAUGAAACCCCUUUUCUGCUUAUGCCCGUUAGGUUUGGAUUUUCUGUCACUUGCUACUAAGACAGCCCUCACUGACCAAGUGAAGCUCAGAGAUGGGACCCAACACACCCAAGGUCACAUAGCUACGAAAGCAGUGGAACAGAAACUCCCAU